CGCCCACAGCCCGGCCCGAGUCGCGGGGCCCGAGCGACAGCGACGGCGCCGGCCGGGGCCGCGGCGCGCGGAAGCCACUUUGCACGGUCAGCGCCGGGCACAAGUUUGUUCCGCGGCUCCCGGGGGCCUGGGCGCUGAGGGAGAAUCGCGCUGAGGGGGCCAGGAGGAGGGGGAGAGGGAGGCGCCGAAGGGCACAAGAGUGGGGAAAAGUGCGGAAAGAAGCAACAGCCGCUCCACCCGGGACCAGAAAAGUGGCCAGUGCGUCCCGGCCGCCCGCCCUGCGCCGGGGAUGCGGCGGCGUCGGCGCCGGCUAACGGUCCAGGGAGGCGGCAGGGGCGGCGGGAGCCGCUAGGCGGAGAGAGACCAGGGACGCCUGGUUUCCCCCCAAGCGAACCGGGAUGGGAAGUGACUUCAAUGAGAUUGAACUUCAGCUGGAUUGAAAGAGAGGCUAGAAGU
RNAcentral lists this long non-coding RNA (456 nucleotides) under Homo sapiens (human). RNAcentral describes it as "ZEB1 antisense RNA 1". The record is from RNAcentral. Lineage: Eukaryota; Metazoa; Chordata; Mammalia; Primates; Hominidae.